Molecule: unclassified non-coding RNA, 346 nt
Filed under: soil metagenome
Description: partial contains 5.8S ribosomal RNA, internal transcribed spacer 2, and large subunit ribosomal RNA
Rfam family: 5.8S ribosomal RNA (bases 1-119)
Source: RNAcentral
GAUGAAGAACGUAGCGAAAUGCGAAACGUAAUGUGAAUUGCAAAUUCAGUGAAUCAUCGAGUCUUUGAACGCACAUUGCGCCCCCUGGUAUUCCGGGGGGCAUGCCUGUCCGAGCGUCAUUGCUGCCCUCAAGCACGGCUUGUGUGUUGGGCCCCGUCCUCCGAUCCCGGGGGACGGGCCCGAAAGGCAGCGGCGGCACCGCGUCCGGUCCUCGAGCGUAUGGGGCUUUGUCACCCGCUCUGUAGGCCCGGCCGGCGCUUGCCGAUCAACCCAAAUUUUUUAUCCAGGUUGACCUCGGAUCAGGUAGGGAUACCCGCUGAACUUAAGCAUAUCAAUAAGCGGAGGA